AACUUUGAUUUCUCGGUAAUUUAUAUCUUUCCGCAAUUCAUUCCUAUCGUGAUUGACAAUUACAUUCCGCGUUUCCAUUGAUACGAUCAAUCACAAUCAUUUCCUUACCUUGCGAGCCGUGCGAAGGCUAUAAAAGCCGAAGCCUCACCAUCUCGACACCACCACUCGACUCCCUCACACAUCGCUCGCAACACCCUCUGUUCCCGCCGAUUCACCGGAGGAGACAACCCGAAACACCUCACCGCCGCUGGACCGGCACGUUGUCGAGUACGCUACCAGGAGUUCCAACAACCCACCGGAGUCCUAGGGGUCUACUGGAGGCACCUACAGCGUCGAGGAGAAAGCCGUUGCCGGAACCAGGAUCACGUCGACGUUCGUGUCGUCACUUUUCGGAUAAUCGCUCUUGUGCGUUCCCUUGGAUUCUCAAUCUUAUUCGUGCGUUACAAGAAAUCGCAACGCAAUCAAUGUUGAAUGUUCAAGAUAUCAAGUAACAAGCUAGGAUGGCAUAGAAACCCAUUUUAGUUAUAAACUUUGUUUGAAUUUAUGUUUUGGAUAUUUGAAACUUUGUAUUAUCCCCUAGUUUUAAUAAAAUGAUUAAAUUCAUAAUGUCA
Molecule: long non-coding RNA, 611 nt
Organism: Helianthus annuus (common sunflower)
Lineage: Eukaryota; Viridiplantae; Streptophyta; Magnoliopsida; Asterales; Asteraceae
Exons: 3
Source: RefSeq, a predicted model, not a curated record